Molecule: long non-coding RNA, 5165 nt
Organism: Bubalus bubalis (water buffalo)
Lineage: Eukaryota; Metazoa; Chordata; Mammalia; Artiodactyla; Bovidae
Exons: 2
Source: RefSeq, a predicted model, not a curated record
CCUGUGUCUCUAACAUUUCCUGCAUUGGCAGGCGGGUUCUUUACCACUAGCUCCACCUGGGAAGCCCAUGUAUGUGUAUAUAUGUAUGAAUAUAUAAGUGUAUAUGCGUAAAUCUGUCUAUAUAUAUGCAGAAAGAGAUUGGAGCAAAAGUGACUUAUAUCCAUAUCUAUAGACCCUCAAGAAUGUCUAUGACAUUUUGGUAAGUGAAAAAGAAAACAUUGCAAAGUUAAGUGUAUAACAGGGGUCCCCAAGCCCCAGGCCACGGACCAGUAGGAGUCUGUGCUGGUCUCUGGCCUGUUAGGAACCCAGGUUAUAGAGCAGGAGGUGCGCAGUGGGUGAGCAAACAAAGCUUCAUCUGUAUUUACAGUUGCUCCCUAUUGAUUGCAUUACUGCUUGAGCCCCACCUCCUGUCAGAUGAGCUGUGGCAUUAGAUUCUCAGGAGCACGGACCCUACUGUGCAUUUGAGGGAUCUAGGUUGCAGGCUCCUUAUGAGAAUCUAAUGCCUGAUGAUCUGAGGUGGAGUUGAGGCAGUGAUGCUAGUGCUGGGAGUGGCUGCAAAUAUAGAUCAUCAUUAGCAGAGAGGUUUGACUGCAGAGACCAUAAUGAAGCAACUGCUUGCAGACUCAUAUCAAAGCCCUAUCAGUGAGUGGCAAGUGACAAACUGCACCUGGUGGCAGGCUUUAAGUCAGAAUCCACCCAUGGCCGGCCCGUUAUUUUAUUUAUCACUUCUGUCUGUGCCUCUUUCCUGUGCUGCACACUUGUCUCAGGCAUGGUUUUGGUAAGCCCACAAGCUAACCCUCGCCAAAAUGAGUGAAAAACAAGCAUCGCCGGAGAGCUUCUUUGAAAAGAGGGAAAGACCCAAUGAUGAGACAACAGAAGUCUCUAAGACUGCCCCCCCCCAAAAAAAAGGAAGAAGAAGAAAGCUGCAUUUUAAAGAAAAUACCAAGAGUCCUUCUGAAAUUAUGGUUUCAUUGCAAUAGGUGAUUCACAUUCUCCAAGCCCACUCUGUAUAAUACGUGGCGACCAGGUCACACAACAAAGCCAUGAAACUUCAAAAUUGCUUUGCCACAUGGAGACCAAGGAUCCUACAUUAAAAGACAAACCUUUGGAGUUUUUCAGAAGAAUAAAAGCUGAUCGUGCCUGCUGCUAAGGACAUUUGUUGUAAACUUUUAGGAGAGACUUCAGUUAAAAAGGCAGCACCUGUUCCACUUUUGGCUAGCACCAUAACUAGAUGAAUUGAUGGAAUAGAAGAGAAUAGAGGCACAACUGUUAGAGAGGAUUAAUGAGUCACCAUGAUACACAAUCCAACUGGACAAGUCCACCGAUGUUGACAACAAGGCAACAGUGCUUGGUUUUGUGUGAUAUAUUUUUCAGGAGGAUGUGCAGGAGGAUAUGUUAUGUGCACUUUUGUUGCCAACCAACCCCACAGAUGCAGAACUAUUCAAGUCUUUGACUGAUUACAUAUCAGGAAAAUUCUGCAUUGGUCACUUUGUGUCUGCAUGUGCAUGGAUGGAGAAGCUGUCACAACUGGAUAGCUUUUUGGUUUCACUGCUUGUAUCAAACAGGUUGCUUCUGAAUGUGAGUCUACACACUGUUUCAUCCAUAGAGAAGUGGUGGCUAGCCAAAAAAUGUCACUCUGACUGAACAAUGUUUUGCUGGAUGUAAUUAAAAUUGUCAACCACAGUAAAGUACAUGCCCUUAACCAAUGUCUGUCUGCACAGCUCGGAGAGGAGAUGGACACAGUGCAUGUCUUCUCUUUUACACAGAAGUGGGAUGGCUUUCUAAAGGUAGAUCACAGCCAGAGUUUUUGCAUUACUAGAGUCACUUCAGAGAUUUCUUUCAGAAAAACAGUCACCACUGGCAGCACACUUCAAUGACCCAGAAGAGGUCACAAAUCUUGCUUAUUUAUGUGACAUAUUUAACCUACUUGACAAACUCAAUCCAUCACUUUAGGGAGAAGGACAGCUGUGUUCAAGCUUCAGACAAAGUGGCUGCAUUCAAAACCAAACUGGAAUUACGGGGACAACAAGUGAGCAUUGGGAUUUUUGACAUUUAAAACAUUAGCAGAGGUUGAAAGAGACUGAGCCAGGGCCUUGUUUCUCCAAGCUGGUGCAUGAUCACCUUAUGUCAGCUUUCAGAAGAAUUUGGGCAUUACUUCCCAACCACAAAAUACCCCCAAACUGGGAAGGAAUGGAACCAUGACCUAUUUGUGAUUAAGCCAGGUGAAUCAGCUUUGUCCACACUAUAAGGGGAUCAACUGCUUAAAAUUGCAAAUGACAGUGGCCUUAAAAGUAUGUUUGAGACAGCUUCAAAUCUCCAUACAUUCUGGAUUAAAGUCAAGGCGAAAUACACAGAUUUCCACAGAAGUACCGAAAAGCCUGCUACGAUUUCCAAUAUCCUAUCUUUGUGAAGCAGGGUUUUCUGCAGUGACAGCAGCCAAAAUGAGAUUACAGAGUAGACUGGACAUAAGCAACACACUUUGGGUGUCACUGUCUCCCAUCAACCCCAGAUGGGACUGUCUAGUUGCAGGAAAACAACCUCAGGACUCCCACUUAUUCUACAUUAUGGUGAGUUGUACAAUUAUUUUGUUAUAUAUCACAAUGCAACAAUAAUAGAAAUAACACAAUAAAUGUAUUACAUUUGAAUCAUCGGACACCUUUACUUGUAUUACUCAUGUAUCAAAUCACAAUUUGUUUUGGUUCUUUCAAAUAUGGAGGGAAGAAGGAUGGAGAGUAACUGCAAAAAAUUCAUUUGCAUCUUCUCAAAUAAUUAUGUAUUCUUAUCUAGACCAAAGUUGUCUGAUGGAACUCUCUGCAGUGAAGAUCAUGUUCUAAAAUCUGUACUGGAAGAAUUAGACGAUUUUGUGGCUAGCUGUAUGCACUACUGAGCAUUUGAAAUGUACUAAUGUAUCUAGAAUUGAACUUUAAAUUUCAUUUAAUUUUAGUUUUAAUUAAACUAUGACGUGUAAUCUUAAAAAAGGGAAUACAUGGGCUGGGGUCUGGGGGCUAUGAGAUGAUGUAGGUAAAGGGGUACAAAAUUUCACUUAUAAGGAUAAAUUCUGAGGAUCCAGUGAACAGCAUGGUUCCUACAGUUAAUAAUAAGAUAGUGUAUAUUUUGAAAAUUGCUGAGAGUAGAUCUUAAGCAUUCUCACUGAACCACCCAACCCCGCCCUACAAAGUUAACUGGAUUAACUGUAUGAUGUGAUGGAUGCAUUAAUUAUCUUGAUAAUCAACUGACAGUGUGUAAGUAUGUCAAAUCAUGGUGAACACUUUAAAUAUAUGCAAUGAUAUUGGUCAAUUGUUCCCCAAAAUUAAGAAAAGAAAAAACUAUUAGGGAAGAAUUAAAUUCAAUGAGCUUUAUGGGAAAAAUGGACAUUUGCCAAUAGGUGGGGAAGGUGGUCCAAGAGAAGGAGUCAAUUUUCCUCUUGUGAGGGGAACAACCAGAAGGUUUCCCUAUAAUUUUCAUGAAAGGAUUUGCCUAAGGAAGUGGUUCUCAAACUUGUUUGCUCAUUAGAAUCAGCUGGGAACUUAUAAAGCCCCUGACGUCCAAUCCACACCCGGAGAUUGUGACUUCACUGGUUUCAGGGAUUCCUAUUGAGCAAACUCCUUGACACAGGUCUUGGCAAUUAUUUUUUUAAUCUGACACCAAAAGGAAAAGCAACAAAAGGAAAAAUAAAAUAUGCUAGACUACAUCAUACUUAUACUAAAAAGAUUCUGCACAGCAAAGGAAACCAUCAACAAAAUGAAAACUUAUUGAGUAGGAGAAAAUAUUUGCAAAACAUAUAUCUGAUAGGGGGCUAGUAUUCAAAAUAUAUGAAGAAGUCAUACAACUCAGUAGCAAAAAAAAUAAUCUGACCAAAAACUGAGAAGAUCUGAAUAAACAUUUUUUCAAAACAGACACACAGAUGGCCAACAGGUCUUUGACAAGAUGUUCAACAUCAUUAAACAUCAGGGAAAUGCAAAUCGAAAUCACAGUGAGGUAUCAUUUUACACUUGCUUUAUAAUGAUUAUUAUCAAAAAGACAAGAAAUAACAAGUGUUGGUGAGAAUGUAGAGAAAAGGGAACAUUUGUGCACCAUUGGUGGAAAUGUAAAUUGGUGCAGUGACUAUGGAAAAUAGCAUAGAGUUUUCUCAAAAAGUUACAAAUAGAAUUACCAUAUGAUCCAGCAAUUCCACUUCUGGUUAUUUAUCUGAAGAGAAAAAAGAAACACACUAACUUGAAAAGAUCCCUGCACUCCCAUGUUUAUUGCAGCAUUAUUUACAAUGGCCAAGGUGUAGAAACAAUUUGUGUUCAUUGACGUAUAGUUACAUUUUCCUUAUCUAAGGGCAGGAAAAGAGAAAACAAGUGGCUCAGAUGGUUAGUUAUCAAAAUCAACCAAGAUCUCUAAAAUAAAGGAGUCUCAGUGGGAGAAGACAACUGGCUUUGCACUUUAUCUAAUUGUGUAUUUAUUUGAGAUCUGCUUUGAAGUGGAUGCCUCUUUGAAAUGGAUGCUUUGGCAAUCAAAGCUUAAGUCAGGCACUUGCAUUAUGAAAAAAAAAAAAACUGUCAGGGCUUACAUUACAUAUAUAUGUGAUUAAAAAACUGUUCUGGACUCAUUAAAAAUGGUAUGGAAGUAACUUAGACAUUGAAAUUAUUUAAAGCCCCCAGUAAAUUCUAAUGUGAAGUUAGAUUUGUGAAUUUGUGGCCCAAGGGAAGUCAAUGUUUUCAGGAAAGAAUUAGAUCAAAGAACCUGAAAUGAAUUUAGAGCUCUAUUUCUGGCUUCUAUGUGCUGGGUUCAGUCUAGAAUUACCAUAUAAUCAGCAAAUUAGGCACAAGGGAGAAAAAUAGAGGCCCUCUUUUGCUUGUAGUCAGUCAGUGCGAGCAUAUCUGAUCCAAAACACUUGGAAACACACAGUUUCAUCUAGUGGCCAGUGGGGACUCUCCAACAGAACCUGCAAAACAGGAAGACUUUGGGAUCUGGCUUUUUGAAACACUGAGGUUACAAGGAAGAAAAGGAUUGCAAGUUGUUUGAUUGACACAGAAGAAUUACAAGUGUGAGAGAAUGAGGAGGCAGAGGGCCAAAGGGAAGUAUGUUUCUGCCGCCGCCACAUCACUGCUGCAUUUCAGGAAUGGCAUUUCAGUCGGGAAGUAGACAUGUAUGGAUGUGAGAAUUGGACCAAAAAGAAA